RNAcentral lists this long non-coding RNA (801 nucleotides) under Mytilus galloprovincialis (Mediterranean mussel). Lineage: Eukaryota; Metazoa; Mollusca; Bivalvia; Mytilida; Mytilidae. The record is from RNAcentral.
AGUGAAAUACGUAUGUAUUUGUACACUCAAAGGACCAAAUUAACAGUAUGAGAAUGAAUAUUUCUGAAAUUCAUUAGCUAAAUCUGCAAAACACCAAGAAAUGCACAGUUUAUAAUCUAGAAAUAAGGAUUGUAAUUACUUCGUGUAUUUUUUAAUAAUAUUCGAACACUAUCCAAUAGUUCAGUAUUAAAAGAUUAAUCUUUUCUAUACUGUUUAUCUUUGGUGCAUUAUUUUUACUUUGAAGUGCAUAGGCUAUACAUGUUACGUCUUGCGACGCAGUACCGUGCGUAAAGUCUGAGUAUUGAGUUACGUAUUUUAUACAAAGAUGUAAAAUCAUGCACACUAAUCGCUAUUAGUUCAUUGUUUCCAUACUCAAUACUAAUUUGCUAACAUUAACACAUAUAUAAUACAACUACUGGUUACCUGGUAUAAUAUGAUUUACGAUUUGACCUUUUACGAAUGACGAUAUAAAGCGAUGCAUUGUCUUAUUACUAUGUAUGAUUCGUAUCUUGUAUUUAAUGUAAAACACUUGUACAAAUUCAUUGGACUUGAAUGUGAUUAAUUUUUAAAGUACCGGUCUUUGUAAAAAUCAUGAUUCAUGACAUGUCACAGAAGUAAUUGUUUUUGCCCUAUAUCAUAAGAACUUGGGUAGAUGAGUAAAAUUCUGUCUUUAUUUUCCCUGUAUUAUGCCCGUUGCCAUGGUAAUCAUCAAAUCAAAUUUUGCCUGAAUAUGUGAAAAAAGAACCUUUUUGAAAAUAUAAAAUAUAAAAAUGUGUUGUUUAUUUAUUUAUUUUUCUUUAA